AUACGUAGGGGGCGAGCGUUGUCCGGAUUGAUUGGGCGUAAAGGGCGCGUAGGCGGCCCUGUAAGUCUGGAGUGAAAGCCCUGUUUUUAAGUUGGGAAUUGCUUUGGAUACUGUCGGGCUUGAGUGCAGGAGAGGAAAGUGGAAUUCCCAGUGUAGCGGUGAAAUGCGUAGAUAUUGGGAGGAACACCAGUGGCGAAGGCGGCUUUCUGGACUGUAACUGACGCUGAGGCGCGAAAGUGUGGGGAGCAAACAGGAUUAGAUACCCUGGUAGUCCACACUGUAAACGAUGAAUGCUAGGUGUAGGGGGUAUCGACCCCUUCUGUGCCGCAGUCAACACAAUAAGCAUUCCGCCUGGGGAGUACGGCCGCAAGGUUGAAACUCAAAGGAAUUGACGGGG
This 397-nucleotide ribosomal RNA is filed under the name uncultured bacterium. RNAcentral describes it as "partial 16S ribosomal RNA". It matches the Rfam family "Bacterial small subunit ribosomal RNA", at positions 523 to 918 of the family's 1533-position model. The record is from RNAcentral.